CAGCAGCCGCGGGAAUACGUAGGGUGCGAGCGUUGUCCGGAAUUAUUGGGCGUAAAGGGCUCGCAGGCGGUUUCUUAAGUCUGAUGUGAAAGCCCCCGGCUCAACCGGGGAGGGUCAUUGGAAACUGGGAAACUUGAGUACAGAAGAGGAGAGUGGAAUUCCACGUGUAGCGGUGAAAUGCGUAGAGAUGUGGAGGAACACCAGUGGCGAAGGCGACUCUCUGGUCUGUACUGACGCUGAGGAGCGAAAGCGUGGGGAGCGAACAGGAUUAGAUACCCCUGUAGUCCCUGUCUCUUAUACC
RNAcentral lists this ribosomal RNA (301 nucleotides) under uncultured bacterium. RNAcentral describes it as "partial 16S ribosomal RNA". It matches the Rfam family "Bacterial small subunit ribosomal RNA", at positions 509 to 808 of the family's 1533-position model. The record is from RNAcentral.